UAAUACGAAGGGUGCAAGCGUUGCUCGGAAUUAUUGGGCGUAAAGGGUAGGUAGGUGGUUACGUAUGUCUGGGGUGAAAUCCCUGAGCUUAACUCAGGAAGUGCCUUGGAAACGGCGUAACUAGAGUGCUAGAGAGGUUCGUGGAAUUCCCAGUGUAGCGGUGAAAUGCGUAGAGAUUGGGAGGAACACCAGAGGCGAAGGCGGCGAACUGGAUAGCAACUGACACUGAACUACGAAAGCGUGGGUAGCAAACAGGAUUAGAUACCCUGGUAGUCCAUGCUGUAAACGAUGAGUACUAGGCUUCGUGGGAAUUGACCCCUGCGGAGCCGGAGCUAACGCAAUAAGUACUCCGCCUGGGAAGUACGGUCGCAAGACUAAAACUCAAAGGAAUUGACGGGAGCCCGCACAAGCGGUGGAUUAUGUGGUUUAAUUCGAAGCAACGCGCAGAACCUUACCAGGUUUGACAUCCUCUGACAGCUGUAGAGAUACAGUCUUCGUAGCAAUACGACAGAGA
This 514-nucleotide ribosomal RNA is filed under the name uncultured Sporacetigenium sp. Its description in RNAcentral is "bacterial SSU rRNA". It matches the Rfam family "Bacterial small subunit ribosomal RNA", at positions 521 to 1032 of the family's 1533-position model. Lineage: Bacteria; Bacillati; Bacillota; Clostridia; Peptostreptococcales; Tepidibacteraceae. The record is from RNAcentral.